GUCGCUUGCAUGGGGGCAUUUUUUGGCGUGGUUUUUGCCUCUGUUGAGAUUGGUCUUUUAAUCGCGGUAAGGGCAUUCAGCAACUUAACUGUUUACUUGAGAAAAAUUAUCGUCAUUCAACAACCUGAGCUGAUAAUAUUUAUCAAUAAAUAGGUGACAAUAUCAUUUGCUAAGAUUCUCCUCCAAGUCACAAGGCCGCGAACAGCUACUCUUGGUAGGAUACCCCGGACAAAUGUAUAUAGAAACAUUCAGCAAUACCCCGAGGCAACAAAAAUUCCUGGUGUAUUGAUUGUGAGAGUAGAUUCAGCUAUAUACUUCUCAAACUCUAACUAUAUAAAGGAAAGGUAGGACACUUCUCUUACUUUAAUCUGAAGAAUUUUUAUAGGGGUGCCAAAUGGGCGGGUUGGGUCAAUUUUGGACGGGUCAAAAGUUACUUGGGCUAAGAUGAGUUGAGUCAAGAUGGGUUAAAAUUCGAGUCAUAACCCAUCCCGACCAGCUCUUAUUAAACUUUAAUUAAUAUGUGUUAUUUUCUUAUAAAUUGUAUAAUUACUAAAUAAAGAUUUUUUGCUUAUGGUCAUAUUUAAAAUAUUAAACAAAAAAUAAAAUUAUUUCUAAGAUAUUUUGACAAACUUACUCAUAGAUCAAUUUGGGCUAAAAAUUAACCCAACUAUAAAUGAGUUGAGAUGGAUUGGGUCAAGAUGGGCUAAGUUCAAUAAAUGGGCGGGUGAAUAACCAACUCAACCUUGAGCGAGUCAUUUGGGCAUGGGCCAAAUUUGACAGCCCUAAUUUUUUUAUAUUGACAAGAAAUAGCUAGGAACUUAACAACUAACUUGUUAUUCAGGAUAUUGAGAUGGUUAACGGAUGAGGAAGAACAAGUAAAAGCAGCUGGCCUUCCUAAAAUUCAAUUCUUGAUUGUUGAGAUGUCACGUAAGUAGAGUUUACCUUAAUUUGUCGCUGAAAUUAAGAGCAUGUUAUCCUACUUAGAGCUCGUGUUUCUUCUCUUCUACUUGCAGCUGUUACUGACAUUGACACCAGUGGCAUCCAUGCCUUGGAAGAGUUGCUCAGAAGCCUAAAAAAGAGAGGUGUUCAGGUAAUAACAACAACAACAAAAAAUUGCCCAGUAUAGUUCCACUGGGGACUCCUCGUGUUUCUUACCUUGUUCAUUUCUUGAACAGCUUGUUCUCUCGAACCCGGGAAGAGUGGUGAUUGACAAGCUACAUGCAUCGAAUUUUCCAAGUCAAAUCGGCGAGGACAAGAUAUUUCUCACAGUUGCAGAUGCUGUUCUAACCUGUUCACCAAAAUUGCCAGAGGAAGUUUAACAUUGUAAAGAAUGGAUGCAAAAGAAAGGGGGAGGAGAAGAAAAAUCAACCACAAGUAGAACGAGGGACCAAAAUUGAAUAGAGUAUAUAUAGAGUGAUAAAUAAAGGCAUAGGUUUCUAUUUUUAGUGAGUGGUGGGAUCCUCAGAAAAGUGAUAUGAUAUGAUACUAAUCUAAAACAGAUGGUGGUCCUAGCCAAUUGCGAUAAUGAGUACAUGUUAGCCAUGCUUUUAACUUUUAUGGUUAAAAUACAGUCGCCCGUAAGAUUUACCUUGUCUUUCUUGUUUUUGC
This 1608-nucleotide long non-coding RNA is filed under the name Nicotiana benthamiana. Its description in RNAcentral is "long non-coding RNA (NBEN_LNC022581)". Lineage: Eukaryota; Viridiplantae; Streptophyta; Magnoliopsida; Solanales; Solanaceae. The record is from RNAcentral.